GGGGAAUAUUGCGCAAUGGGGGAAACCCUGACGCAGCAACGCCGCGUGGAGGAAGAAGGUCUUCGGAUUGUAAACUCCUGUCUUCUGGGACGAAAAAAAUGACGGUACCAGAGGAGGAAGCCACGGCUAACUACGUGCCAGCAGCCGCGGUAAUACGUAGGUGGCAAGCGUUGUCCGGAAUUAUUGGGCGUAAAGGGCGCGUAGGCGGCAACCUAAGUCAGAUGUGAAACCCCGGGGCUUAACUCCGGACGUGCAUUUGAAACUGGGUAGCUAGAGUGCAGGAGAGGAGAACGGAAUUCCUAGUGUAGCGGUGAAAUGCGUAGAGAUUAGGAAGAACACCAGUGGCGAAGGCGGUUCUCUGGACUGUAACUGACGCUGAGGCACGAAAGCGUGGGUAGCAAACA
RNAcentral lists this ribosomal RNA (404 nucleotides) under uncultured Gracilibacteraceae bacterium. RNAcentral's name for it is "bacterial SSU rRNA". It matches the Rfam family "Bacterial small subunit ribosomal RNA", at positions 356 to 774 of the family's 1533-position model. The record is from RNAcentral. Lineage: Bacteria; Bacillati; Bacillota; Clostridia; Eubacteriales; Gracilibacteraceae.